RNAcentral lists this ribosomal RNA (483 nucleotides) under uncultured bacterium. Its description in RNAcentral is "partial 16S ribosomal RNA". It matches the Rfam family "Bacterial small subunit ribosomal RNA", at positions 30 to 507 of the family's 1533-position model. The record is from RNAcentral.
UUGAACGCUGGCGGCAGGCCUAACACAUGCAAGUCGAGCGGAUGAAGGGAGCUUGCUCCUGGAUUCAGCGGCGGACGGGUGAGUAAUGCCUAGGAAUCUGCCUGGUAGUGGGGGAUAACGUCCGGAAACGGGCGCUAAUACCGCAUACGUCCUGAGGGAGAAAGUGGGGGAUCUUCGGACCUCACGCUAUCAGAUGAGCCUAGGUCGGAUUAGCUAGUUGGUGGGGUAAAGGCCUACCAAGGCGACGAUCCGUAACUGGUCUGAGAGGAUGAUCAGUCACACUGGAUCUGAGACACGGUCCAGACUCCUACGGGAGGCAGCAGUGGGGAAUAUUGGACAAUGGGCGAAAGCCUGAUCCAGCCAUGCCGCGUGUGUGAAGAAGGUCUUCGGAUUGUAAAGCACUUUAAGUUGGGAGGAAGGGCAGUAAGUUAAUACCUUGCUGUUUUGACGUUACCAACAGAAUAAGCACCGGCUAACUUCGUG